AGAACGAACGCUGGCGGCAUGCCUAAUACAUGCAAGUCGAACGAACUCUUCGGAGUUAGUGGCGCACGGGUGCGUAACGCGUGGGAAUCUGCCCCUUGGUUCGGAAUAACAGUUGGAAACGACUGCUAAUACCGGAUGAUGACGAAAGUCCAAAGAUUUAUCGCCAAGGGAUGAGCCCGCGUAGGAUUAGCUAGUUGGUGAGGUAAAGGCUCACCAAGGCAACGAUCCUUAGCUGGUCUGAGAGGAUGAUCAGCCACACUGGGACUGAGACACGGCCCAGACUCCGUACGGGAGCAGCAGUAGGGAAUAUUGGAC
This 315-nucleotide ribosomal RNA is filed under the name uncultured soil bacterium. Its description in RNAcentral is "bacterial SSU rRNA". It matches the Rfam family "Bacterial small subunit ribosomal RNA", at positions 26 to 369 of the family's 1533-position model. The record is from RNAcentral.